UCUCCGUUGGUGAACCAGCGGAGGGAUCAUUACAGAGUUGCAAAACUCCCAAACCAUUGUGAACGUUACCUAUCCCGUUGCUUCGGCGGGCGGCCCGGGCCCCGCGCCCGGCGCCCCCCGGCCCCCCGUGGGCGCCCGCCGGAGGUAAACCAAACCCUUGAAUUGCAUGGCCUCUCUGAGUCUUCUGUACUGAAUAAGUCAAACCUUUCAACAACGGAUCUCUUGGUUCUG
This 231-nucleotide unclassified non-coding RNA is filed under the name plant metagenome. RNAcentral's name for it is "partial contains small subunit ribosomal RNA, internal transcribed spacer 1, and 5.8S ribosomal RNA". The record is from RNAcentral.